RNAcentral lists this transfer RNA (49 nucleotides) under Cyrtodactylus dianxiensis (Western Yunnan bent-toed gecko). Its description in RNAcentral is "partial tRNA-Tyr". The record is from RNAcentral. Lineage: Eukaryota; Metazoa; Chordata; Lepidosauria; Squamata; Gekkonidae.
UUGGUUGGGGGGGCCCUGGCCCCGUAACCGGAUUUACAGUCCGACACCU